RNAcentral lists this ribosomal RNA (434 nucleotides) under Pseudomonas plecoglossicida. Its description in RNAcentral is "bacterial SSU rRNA". It matches the Rfam family "Bacterial small subunit ribosomal RNA", at positions 95 to 525 of the family's 1533-position model. The record is from RNAcentral. Lineage: Bacteria; Pseudomonadati; Pseudomonadota; Gammaproteobacteria; Pseudomonadales; Pseudomonadaceae.
GCGGCGGACGGGUGAGUAAUGCCUAGGAAUCUGCCUGGUAGUGGGGGACAACGUUUCGAAAGGAACGCUAAUACCGCAUACGUCCUACGGGAGAAAGCAGGGGACCUUCGGGCCUUGCGCUAUCAGAUGAGCCUAGGUCGGAUUAGCUAGUUGGUGAGGUAAUGGCUCACCAAGGCGACGAUCCGUAACUGGUCUGAGAGGAUGAUCAGUCACACUGGAACUGAGACACGGUCCAGACUCCUACGGGAGGCAGCAGUGGGGAAUAUUGGACAAUGGGCGAAAGCCUGAUCCAGCCAUGCCGCGUGUGUGAAGAAGGUCUUCGGAUUGUAAAGCACUUUAAGUUGGGAGGAAGGGCAGUAAGUCUAUACCUUGCUGUUUUGACGUUACCGACAGAAUAAGCACCGGCUAACUCUGUGCCAGCAGCCGCGGUAAUA